Long non-coding RNA from Girardinichthys multiradiatus, 962 nucleotides. RefSeq lists it as uncharacterized. The record is from RefSeq and is a predicted model, not a curated record. NCBI's taxonomy places the organism in Eukaryota, Metazoa, Chordata, Actinopteri, Cyprinodontiformes, Goodeidae. The transcript is spliced from 5 exons.
UUUAAGUGUGAGAUAUUGGUCCAUCCCUGUAGUCUAAAGUGGAACUUCAUAACUGAUUGAUGAGUCAGCAGUGUUCUGGCAUAUUUACACACAAAUGAAAACAGUCGACGCUUGAACAAAUGUAGGCGGUAAACAGAUGAGAGAUUUGAAUGGUUAAUGGUUUGUGAUGCCGGCAGUUGGUGGUGUUUUUCCAACCUCCAUUAAUAUCUUUUCAAAGACAGCUGAGCAGUCAGAGUCGUCGUCAUGGAAACUGAACUUGAGUUCCUCUGUGAUUCGUUUGGGAACAAUUGUCAUCUCUGAGCAAACACUUCUCUCACAUUUGAAAUAGCUCAAAAGCUGAUUCAGACUGGAUGGAGGUCAUCUGUGAAGGUCAAUUUUCAGGAUUGCCCUGUACUUGGCUCCAUUCCCUCCUUCCAUUAACUCUGACCAGUUUCUCUGUCACUGCUAAAGAAAAACACCCCAUUAGCAUCAUGCAGCCACCACCAUGUUUCCCUAUGAGCUCGUCACGGCCAACCGUUUUACUGAUGUGGUGCUUUGAAGCUGGAUGGAGGGAGGGUGAGACAUCAUGCGCUCAGAUGCCCGAAGAUGCUGUGGUUUUGUGGAGUUUUAUCACCCAGACAGGGAGACGGAGCUCGAAUCCUGCCCCUUACAGCCCUCACUGUGGCAGGAGGCUGAAAGUGACAGUCCUCAGCAGCCAGGCCUUGCAAAUACCGCAGGCCUGAUAAUGACUUCCAUGCCAUCGUGACAACUUGCUCUUUUAUGUGAAAGGCAAGGGAAGACGCUUCUGGCUGUCUCGAAACAUCGUAAGCUGGAACAUUGUCUAUAAACCAGACAAUCAAAGAGGAAGGCAGAGAAGCAUGAGUGGAAUCUGUGACGCCAACCUCAGCUGAUUGAUGAUCACUACUGAAGAAGCCCUAUUUCCAAGAGAAUGAAUUUAGAAGUAAAUUGCGGGAAAACCAAAA